RNAcentral lists this ribosomal RNA (465 nucleotides) under Vreelandella stevensii. RNAcentral describes it as "partial 16S ribosomal RNA". It matches the Rfam family "Bacterial small subunit ribosomal RNA", at positions 338 to 795 of the family's 1533-position model. The record is from RNAcentral. Lineage: Bacteria; Pseudomonadati; Pseudomonadota; Gammaproteobacteria; Oceanospirillales; Halomonadaceae.
CCUACGGGGGGCAGCAGUGGGGAAUAUUGGACAAUGGGGGCAACCCUGAUCCAGCCAUGCCGCGUGUGUGAAGAAGGCCCUCGGGUUGUAAAGCACUUACAGUGAGGAAGAACGCCUGGUGGUUAAUACCCAUCAGGAAAGACAUCACUCACAGAAGAAGCACCGGCUAACUCCGUGCCAGCAGCCGCGGUAAUACGGAGGGUGCGAGCGUUAAUCGGAAUUACUGGGCGUAAAGCGCGCGUAGGUGGCUUGAUAAGCCGGUUGUGAAAGCCCCGGGCUCAACCUGGGAACGGCAUCCGGAACUGUCAAGCUAGAGUGCAGGAGAGGAAGGUAGAAUUCCCGGUGUAGCGGUGAAAUGCGUAGAGAUCGGGAGGAAUACCAGUGGCGAAGGCGGCCUUCUGGACUGACACUGACACUGAGGUGCGAAAGCGUGGGUAGCAAACAGGAUUAGAUACCCUUGUAGUC